Long non-coding RNA from Lynx canadensis (Canada lynx), 3384 nucleotides. RefSeq lists it as uncharacterized. The record is from RefSeq and is a predicted model, not a curated record. The transcript has 5 exons. NCBI's taxonomy places the organism in Eukaryota, Metazoa, Chordata, Mammalia, Carnivora, Felidae.
AUGAGGCUGUAAUGAGGAAGGCACAGCCUCUUCCCUUGCCGGCCACGGCCCCGGGGCCGUUUUCCGAGGGUUCUUCGGGGCCAGCAAGAGUGGGCCUUCCUCCCUCUACUAUGUCACCGUCACCUCCAGAACCGAAGGCUUUGCCAAGGAAGCCCCUUCCCUGCUCUGGCCCCAUCACCAGCCCCGGGUCUUGAGUGGGUCCGGGGUCUCGGGGAGCACCUGCUCUGGCCUCCCCUGGCCUCCCCGACCCCAUCUCCUGACGGCUCCUCUGACGAUGUGUGUGCUGUGGAGACGUAGGCCUCCAGCCUUCCGGUGCAGCUCCAGGGACUCGGGCAGUGGGCCGGUCAGCCGGCCCCCUGGGAAGCGGACAGCCUCAUGGGGGACAGAGACAUUACAGAAGCAACGCUGCCCAGUGCACUGAGGCCCGCCCAUCUUCAGUCACCAGAGAAUCACCUUGUGUGUGGACCCGUUCCUGUAACCCUUCGAGUACUGUGUAGUGACUGGCCAUUACCCCUGUAGCCUCAAGGUCAAGGAAAUGCCAGAUGGACUGAAUCAGCUUCACCAGCAGGAACUGGCAACGUGAAGUGACGGACAGAGAUGGGGUGACUCAAAGGACUUCUUGGAGCUUCUGGGUUUGCACUUGCUUGGGACCCAGCGGCCCUUUUCCCCUUCUGGAAUGGCAGCGUGUACCCCAUGUGUGUCCCGCCACUGUAUUUUGGACACAUGUAACAUGCUGGCUUCACAGGGUCACUGCUGGAGAGGAGUUGGCCUCAGGAUGAACCUGCCCCCAGCGUUACCCACGGCUGACAUGGAUGGUGUUCAGACAAGACCUUGGAGUUGGAUGCUAGAAGGAGCUCAGGCUUUGGACUGCUGGGCUGGAGUGAACGUGUUUGGAAAAAAGGCCGUGAAUCUGGGGGGCAGCGGUGGAAUGUUGUGAACUGGAUAUUUAUGUCCCCUUGGAUUCAGACGCUGAAGCCUCAGCUCCCAGCGUGACUGUGUUUGGAGGCAGGGUCUUUGGGAUGUGAUGGGGCGAAUCUGAGGCCCUGACGGCAAGACCUCGUGAGGACCUCAGUGCCUGUAAGAGGAGGAGCGAGGUCUCCUUCUCUCUCCACGUGCCCAGGAAGAGAAGGCCUCUGCCUGCCGGACAGUAAGAGAGCCACCAACAAUCAAUUCUGCCAGGACCUCCACCACAGACGGCCUCCACACUGUGAGAAACGCAUGUGUGUUGUUUGAACCAUUUGUGAUGGCAGCCGGAGAUGUUGGAGACACAACCCAAGGGCUCGCCACGAUGGGCGGAUGAGUGAAAUGUGGCUCGUCCACACGAGGCAGCACUACUCGUCCACAUGGGGGGGCAGGGCACCGUCACACAUGACGACAGAGUCCUACCGUGAAAACACGAUGCUCAGGGAGGGAAGCCAGCCACAAAAAAGCACACGGGGUGUGAUUCCAUUUACAAGAAAUGUCCAGGCAACUCCUCAGAAAGAUAGAUUAGUGGUUUCUGGGGCUGGGGGAGUUGAGAGGGAGAAAAGUCAUGGGGUUUCCUCCAAGAUGAUGGGAAUGUUCUGGAAUCAGACAGAGGUGGUGGUUUACACAGCAUUGUGGAUGUGUGCUUAUGAAUUUCAUCUCAAAAAAUUAUUUAAAAAAUUUUAAUACAUGGGUCCGUAAAUCCCGCAAAUCCCGGAUUUGCUGUCCGCUGACCACGAUCUUUGGCCAUUACGACAUCUGACCGUGCUCGUCCCUCUGCAGUUGGACGCUCCGGACACUGGAGCAGAGUGUGAAAACGCCUGCGCAUAAAAGACCUUCAAGAAUGUUCCCUCUGUUCCCGGUUUCACCCCUGGCUUGGCUAUUUCCUACAGGGAGAAGACGCUGUGCACACCUACAGCCCGACAAGCAGGUCAACCAACAGCAAAGGCAGUGUCUCAAGUCAGACCUAGAGGGAGAAAUACGCCUUCGUAAAUCCAAGGCGUCUGGGAGCACUGACUCCCUGCAGGGAGAUCAUCUUGCGGCCAUCACCCUCCUCCCCUUCAGAGCCUGCUCCAUACUGGUGCGCAGUUGGAGGUUAAUGCCGGAUCGAGUGGACUAUUUGGCAACGUCUGAUGAUCCUGUGUUCGUGGUAACCCUCGGGCACCCUCCAAGCUGCAAAGCCCCUUGGAUCCACAGAGCUAUUUAGGGAGGUCUGGGAGAGAAGGGAAAACAGCUGUGCCCAGUCUCAAAAAAGACAUUUCUAUGAAAAUCGAGUACAAAGGCAAGGCUGGGCAAGUCAGGCUGGCGAGAGGCAGAAAGGGGAGGAGCUGGCUUGGGGCCUCCUUGUAGCCUCAUGAGGUGGCCCAGACACCCCGAACCCAGACGACCUCGGGGCCCGGCGAGUCCAGGCCGCAUCUCCAUCCAGCACUGGAGGUGGUUCAAAUGUCACGUGAGUCGGUCACUUGGAGGGAGGGACGCACCAUCAGUCUUCAAGCCCAAUCAUUGACUAACCUCUGUGACCUCGAGGGAGAGUUCAAGAUGCAGGCUCCGGAUGUGAAUCUUUAGGCCAUUCUGAGCUCAUCACCCGGGGCUGGUGGAGUCGCUAGCCUGUGGGCCAAAGCUCUGUGCUGGAUUCUGUGAGGAGCGUCACCAAACACAGAAGAAGGGGCUGGCCUCAGAAAUGGAGGGUUGGGAUGAAGGCUGCCCGACGGUGGGCCAGGGCGAGCCUGUGUCCCGCUCAGGAGACUUUCCGGGAGCGUCUGAGAACAUCUGCUAAAUGGAGGGAUGUCUCAGAGCGCGUUAAUUGCGUGCGUCUUGUGUGUGUGUCCUAAAACACUAUCAGCUGAGUGCAAUUAAAGGGAAUUCAAUUUAAAUCAAUUUGGCAAAACUUUACCGAGUGCCCACUCCAAAUGAGGUUCUGAAAAGGCCACGAUUGGUUUGGUAUUAGGAACAAUGGAAAUUCUGUUAUCGCUCAUCCAAAUAAUCAGAACUAAUUUAGGGUUUGAUGGCAAAUAGUCAAUUGGUAAGCAGGAAACAGGGAGAAAUAAUUAACCAUGACAAGAAAUGCAGUUACAUUUAACUUGUGCUGGUUUUUUGUUUGUUUGUUUGUUUGUUUUGAAGUAAGCUUUAUCUGGAAGGCUCGGUAAUUCUAAAUUGUCAGUCAAAAACAGUGCCUUCCCAUGGUCCUGAAGAGCCUUCCUGCCACUCCCCACCCGCAUGGUCGUGCCCGAGCCCCUUCCCCAGAGGGAAGCCGGGCGGUGCCCGAGAAGGGAGCAGAGGGCGUCCUGGUGACUGACGGGGGACAAAGGGGCCACGACCCGCCUCUGGAGGAAGGCCACGCGGAAGCGGGACGGAGCGCGUCAUCCACAGCUGCUCUCGCCCGUGCUCGUCUGAGAUUCAUUUUUAAAAAUAAGCUUGAGU